GGGCCCGCACAAGCGGUGGAGUAUGUGGUUUAAUUCGAUGCAACGCGAAGAACCUUACCAGGGUUUGACAUCCUGCGAAUCUCUUGGAAACGAGAGAGUGCCUUCGGGAACGCAGUGACAGGUGGUGCAUGGCUGUCGUCAGCUCGUGUCGUGAGAUGUUGGGUUAAGUCCCGCAACGAGCGCAACCCACGUCUUUAGUUGCCAGCAUUUAGUUGGGCACUCUAGCGAGACCGCCGGUGAUAAACCGGAGGAAGGUGUGGAUGACGUCAAGUCAUCAUGCCCCUUACAUCCUGGGCUUCACACGUCAUACAAUGGCACGUACAGAGGGUUGCCAACCCGCGAGGGGGAGCC
This 351-nucleotide ribosomal RNA is filed under the name uncultured bacterium. Its description in RNAcentral is "bacterial SSU rRNA". It matches the Rfam family "Bacterial small subunit ribosomal RNA", at positions 917 to 1269 of the family's 1533-position model. The record is from RNAcentral.